Regulatory RNA element from Agrococcus pavilionensis RW1, 59 nucleotides. It matches the Rfam family "msiK RNA". The record is from Rfam. Lineage: Bacteria; Bacillati; Actinomycetota; Actinomycetes; Micrococcales; Microbacteriaceae.
CGCCCGUCCUCACCACGACGGAUCGUCCGGCACGUACCUGCCGGUGGAAAGGGAGUAUC